This is a long non-coding RNA of Orcinus orca (killer whale), 1943 nucleotides long. RefSeq lists it as uncharacterized. The record is from RefSeq and is a predicted model, not a curated record. NCBI's taxonomy places the organism in Eukaryota, Metazoa, Chordata, Mammalia, Artiodactyla, Delphinidae. The transcript is spliced from 2 exons.
GUCCGGGAAGAUCCCACAUGCCGCAGAGCGGCUGGGCCCGUGAGCCAUGGCUGCUGAGCCUGAGCGUCCAGAGCCUGUGCUCCGCAACGGGAGAGGCCACAACAGUGAGAGGCCCACGUACUGCCAAAAAAAAAAAAAAAAUAGAAAACACUCCCAUUUACCAUUGCAACAAAAAGAAUAAAAUAUCUAGGAAUAAACCUACCUAAGGAGACAAAAGACCUGUAUGCAGAAAAUUAUAAGACACUGAUAAAAGAAAUUAAAGAUGAUACAAACAGAUGGAGAGAUAAUACCAUGUUCUUGGAUUGGAAGAAUCAAUAUUGUGAAAAUGACUAUACUACCCAAAGCAAUCUACAGAUUUAAUGCAAUCCCUAUUAAACUACCACUGGCAUUUUUCACAGAACUAGAACAAAAAAUUUCACAAUUUGUAUGGAAACACAAAAGACCCCGAAUAACCAAAGCAAUCUUGACAAUGAAAAAUGGAGCUGGAGGAAUCAGCCUUCCUGGCUUCAGACUAUACUACAAAGCUACAGUAAUCAAGACAGUAUGGUACUGGCACAAAAACAGAAAUAUAGAUCAGUGGAACAGGAUAGAAAGCCCAGAGAUAAACCCACGCACAUAUGGUCACCUUAUCUUUGAUAAAGGAGGCAAGAAUAUACAGUGGAGAAAAGACAGCCUCUUCAAUAAGUGAUGCUGGGAAACUGGACAGGUACAUGUAAAAGUAUGAAAUUAGAACACUCCCUAACACCAUAGACAAAAGUAAACUCAAAAUGGAUUAAAGACCUAAAUGUAAGGCCAGACACUAUCAAGCUCUUAGAGGAAAACAUAGGCAGAACACUCUGACAUAAAUCACAGCAAGAUCCUUUUUGACCCACCUCCUAGAGAAAUGGAAAUAAAAACAAAAAUAAACAAAUGGGACCUCAUGAAACUUCAAAGCUUUUGCACAGCAAAGGAAACCAUAAACAAGACCAAAAGACAACCCUCAGAAUGGGAGAAAAUAUUUGCAAAUGAAGAAACUGACAAAGGAUCAAUCUCCAAAAUUUACAAGCAGCUCAUGCAGCUCAAUAUCAAAAAAACAAACAUCCCAAUCCAAAAAUGGGCAGAAGACCUAAAUAGACAUUUCUCCAAAGAAGAUACACAGAUCGCCAACAAACACAUGAAAGGAUGCUCAACAUCAUUAAUCAUUAGAGAAAUGCAAAUCAAAACUACAAUGAGAUAUCAUCUCACACUGCUCAGAAUGGCCAUCAUCAAAAAAUCUAGAAACAAUAAAUGCUGGAGAGGGUGUGGAGGAAAGGGAACCCUCUUGCACUGUUGGUGGGAAUGUAAAUUGAUACAGCCACUAUGGAGAACAGUAUGGAGGUUCCUUAAAAAACUAAAAAUAGGGGCUUCCCUGGUGGCGCAGUGGUUGGGAGUCCGCCUGCCGAUGCAGGGGACACGGGUUCGUGCCGUGGUCCGGGAAGAUCCCACAUGCCGCGGAGCGGCUGGGUCCGUGAGCCACAGCCGCUGAGACUGCGCGUCCGGAGCCUGUGCUCUGCAACGGGAGAGGCCACAACAGUGAGAGGCCCGCGUACCGCAAAAAAAAAAAAAAACUAAAAAUAGAACUACCAUAUGACCCAGCAAUCCCACUACUGGGCAUAUACCCUGAGAAAACCAUAAUUCAAAAAGAGUCAUGGGGGCUUCCCUGGUGGUGCAGUGGUUGAGAGUCCGCCUGCCAAUGCAGGGGACACGGGUUCGUGCCCCGGUCUGGGAAGAUCCCACAUGCCGCGGAGCGGCUGGGCCCGUGAGCCAUGGCCACUGGGCCUGCGCGUCCGGAGCCUGUGCUCCACAACGGGAGAGGCCACAACAGUGAGAGGCCCACGUAUUGCGCAAAAAAAAAAAAAAAAAGAGAGUCAUGUACCAAAAUGUUUAUUGCAGCUCUAUUUACAAUAGCCAGGACAUGGAAGCAA